Molecule: long non-coding RNA, 505 nt
Organism: Cotesia glomerata
Lineage: Eukaryota; Metazoa; Arthropoda; Insecta; Hymenoptera; Braconidae
Exons: 3
Source: RefSeq, a predicted model, not a curated record
UCUGAAAAUAAAUUGUAAAUUUACCAUGGCAGAGGAUUUUCAACUGCAGAAAUUUAAGUAGAGAUGUUCAGAAAUGUUUUGAACCAACUACUGUCAUCAGAUAGGCACAGUUAACAAGACCAGUUCAGGUUUGCUUUAUAAUUAUUGGAGUCCAUUCUAGAUCUCUUAUAAUAUAUUAUAUUUAAUGUUCAUUGAAGUAUUACACUUUCAUCAUAGAAUAUGCCAAGAUUAAAAAGAUAUUACAUUGAAUAACUAAUUUAUAGACCAAUUGAUUAUUCAACAAAACAAAAGGCGCGAUAAUUGUUGCAGUUACAGGUAAUCACGUAAUAAUUUGACCCACACACUUUGCAAAGAGGUACACGCUCGUUUAUAAAGAAAGCAAGGUGGCGUUAAAAGAGAUGAUUUAAGGUAAUAAUACUCAACAGCUUCUCUCAUCGAGACUUCUUUAAAGCCUCUGUAAUCAAUAAAGUGUUUAACAUUUUAAAAAAUAUCAGUUUAAUAAAAC